This 255-nucleotide ribosomal RNA is filed under the name uncultured bacterium. RNAcentral's name for it is "partial 16S ribosomal RNA". It matches the Rfam family "Bacterial small subunit ribosomal RNA", at positions 524 to 776 of the family's 1533-position model. The record is from RNAcentral.
UACGGGGGGAGCAAGCGUUGUUCGGAUUUACUGGGCGUAAAGGGCGCGUAGGCGGUCGUGACAAGUCACUUGUGAAAUCUCCGGGCUUAACUCGGAACGGCCAAGUGAAACUGUCAAGCUAGAGUGCAGAAGGGGCAAUCGGAAUUCUUGGUGUAGCGGUGAAAUGCGUAGAUAUCAAGAGGAACACCUGAGGUGAAGACGGGUUGCUGGGCUGACACGUGACGCUGAGGCGCGAAAGCCAGGGGAGCAAACGGG